UUUAGUAGAACAGGUAAUUCUAGUCACACUACUUUGCUCGUCCAUAGUGUUUCUUUUUCCCCGCUCGUUGAUUACAUUAUAUAUUUCCCUAUUUCGACCACUUACCACGCAGAGUAUUUAAUUUUGUUCAAAUGCAUUACAUGUAUGAUGCGCUGAAUAAAUUCUCACGUAAUACUAGCAAGGGUCGAAACUCGUGAUGAACUAGUACAUAAUCUUGGAAAAUGACAUUCUUCACCUCGAGCAGACAUCCCAUUGGAUCGUCGCGUUCACGCAUGGAUUUUUCCGCUUGACUGUCUAUGACUGGGACAUUAUACUUUUGACGAAAGUUUAGUUUAAAGAUGUAUUUUCCACGUUGGAUCGAAGGAUUCAUUGAUAUCCAAUGAUUUGCAAGGACCUGCUCGAGUCAUUGAUUUUAUGGACGAUAAAUGACGAUCUCCAGCAAAAUUGGACUGUCUCUUACCCAAUUAAAAACUCUUAGUUUGUGCCACAACCAGCCAAAAUUAUUGCGGGACUUCGCAGCUUCAGCUGCAGGCACAUGUGAAAUUGUCCAAGUGGAUUCAAAAUACCGAAAGAUGCAGCAAUCCAUAGUUUGAAUGACGAUCAUGGAGUAACACAUGAUAGAAAUUAUCUAACAGGCAGAGACUGACUAAGUUAUGUCUAACAGUUCCAAUUUUAACAACACGGCACCUGAAGUGGUGUGCCAUCAGACAGAAAAUGAUAAAGAACUUCUUCAAUAACAGGAAGCAAAACCCUUGCAACCAGCUUGAAAAUGUUCACGAAAGAAAUAGAAAAAGAAUAAGAGGAAGAAAAAGAGGGAUGCACAGACAUCGCAAAGAAUCAACACCACACAACUACAGCGCACGACAUCGAUCCACUCCAACGCGCUAAACAUUACCAUAACAAAACUGACCACACCACACCACACCAAAUCGUCCUCCAAAGUCGGGGCUCGUACAAAACCCACAUCCCAAAAACGCC
Molecule: long non-coding RNA, 978 nt
Filed under: Physcomitrium patens
Lineage: Eukaryota; Viridiplantae; Streptophyta; Bryopsida; Funariales; Funariaceae
Description: long non-coding RNA (PPAT_LNC009007)
Source: RNAcentral